AGAGUUUGAUCCUGGCUCAGAACGUACGCUGGCGGCACGCCUAACACAUGCAAGUCGAACGAAGUAGCAAUACUUAGUGGCAGACGGGUGAGUAACAUGUGGGUAUCUACCCUUUGGCCUGGAAUAACACGAGGAAACUUGUGCUAAUACCGGAUAAGUCUUUACGGAGAAAGCUUUAUGCACCAUUGGAUGAGCCCGCACUUGAUUAGUUUGUUGGUAGGGUAAUGGCCUACCAAGACUAUGAUCAAUAGCUGAUUUGAGAGGAUGAUCAGCCACAUUGGGACUGAGACACGGCCCAAACUCCUACGGGAGGCAGCAGUGGGGAAUCUUGCACAAUGGAGGAAACUCUGAUGCAGCGAUGCCGCGUGAGUGAAGAAGGCCUUUGGGUUGUAAAGCUCUUUCGUCGGGGAAGAAAAUGACUGUACCCGAAUAAGAAGGUCCGGCUAACUUCGUGCCAGCAGCCGCGGUAAUACGAAGGGACCUAGCGUAGUUCGGAAUUACUGGGCUUAAAGAGUUCGUAGGUGGUUGAAAAAGUUGGUGGUGAAAUCCCAGAGCUUAACUCUGGAACUGCCAUCAAAACUUUUCAGCUAGAGUAUGAUAGAGGAAAGCAGAAUUUCUAGUGUAGAGGUGAAAUUCGUAGAUAUUAGAAAGAAUACCAAUUGCGAAGGCAGCUUUCUGGAUCAUUACUGACACUGAGGAACGAAAGCAUGGGUAGCGAAGAGGAUUAGAUACCCUCGUAGUCCAUGCCGUAAACGAUGUGUGUUAGACGUUGGAAAUUUAUUUUCAGUGUCGCAGGAAACCGAUAAACACACCGCCUGGGGAGUACGACCGCAAGGUUAAAACUCAAAUGAAUUGAC
RNAcentral lists this ribosomal RNA (857 nucleotides) under uncultured bacterium. Its description in RNAcentral is "bacterial SSU rRNA". It matches the Rfam family "Bacterial small subunit ribosomal RNA", at positions 8 to 914 of the family's 1533-position model. The record is from RNAcentral.